UUAUCCGGAUUUACUGGGUGUAAAGGGAGCGUAGACGGCAAGGCAAGUCUGAAGUGAAAGCCCGGUGCUUAACGCCGGGACUGCUUUGGAAACUGUUUGGCUGGAGUGCCGGAGAGGUAAGCGGAAUUCCUAGUGUAGCGGUGAAAUGCGUAGAUAUUAGGAAGAACACCAGUGGCGAAGGCGGCUUACUGGACGGUAACUGACGUUGAGGCUCGAAAGCGUGGGGAGCAAACAGGAUUAGAUACCCUGGUAGUCCACGCCGUAAACGAUGAUUGCUAGGUGUAGGUGGUAUAGCCAUUCGGUGCCGCAGCUAACGCAAUAAGCAGUCCACCUGGGGAGUACGUUCGCAAGAAUGAAACUCAA
This 363-nucleotide ribosomal RNA is filed under the name uncultured bacterium. RNAcentral's name for it is "bacterial SSU rRNA". It matches the Rfam family "Bacterial small subunit ribosomal RNA", at positions 541 to 904 of the family's 1533-position model. The record is from RNAcentral.